RNAcentral lists this transfer RNA (75 nucleotides) under Clostridium scatologenes. RNAcentral describes it as "tRNA-Glu (TTC) (tRNA-Glu-TTC-1-1, tRNA-Glu-TTC-1-2)". It matches the Rfam family "tRNA". From Rfam's summary of the family: Transfer RNA (tRNA) molecules are approximately 80 nucleotides in length. Their secondary structure includes four short double-helical elements and three loops (D, anti-codon, and T loops). Further hydrogen bonds mediate the characteristic L-shaped molecular structure. tRNAs have two regions of fundamental functional importance: the anti-codon, which is responsible for specific mRNA codon recognition, and the 3' end, to which the tRNAs corresponding amino acid is attached (by aminoacyl-tRNA synthetases). tRNAs cope with the degeneracy of the genetic code in two manners: having more than one tRNA (with a specific anti-codon) for a particular amino acid; and 'wobble' base-pairing, i.e. permitting non-standard base-pairing at the 3rd anti-codon position. Lineage: Bacteria; Bacillati; Bacillota; Clostridia; Eubacteriales; Clostridiaceae. The record is from RNAcentral. RNAcentral also lists the same sequence under 5 other names.
GGCCCCUUGGUCAAGCGGUUAAGACACCACCCUUUCACGGUGGUAACAGGAGUUCGAGUCUCCUAGGGGUCACCA